This 506-nucleotide ribosomal RNA is filed under the name uncultured bacterium. RNAcentral's name for it is "bacterial SSU rRNA". It matches the Rfam family "Bacterial small subunit ribosomal RNA", at positions 791 to 1301 of the family's 1533-position model. The record is from RNAcentral.
UAGUCCACGCCGUAAACGAUGAUAACUCGUUGCUGGCGAUACAUUGUCAGUGACCAAGCGAAAGUGUUAAGUUAUCCACCUGGGGAGUACGAUCGCAAGAUUGAAACUCAAAGGAAUUGACGGGGGCCCGCACAAGCGGAGGAACAUGUGGUUUAAUUCGAUGAUACGCGAGGAACCUUACCUGGACUUAAAUGUACGUUGCAUAGAUCAGAGAUGGUCUUUUCUUCGGACUACGUACAAGGUGCUGCAUGGUUGUCGUCAGCUCGUGCCGUGAGGUGUCGGGUUAAGUCCCAUAACGGGCGCAACCCCUAUCCUUAGUUGCCAGCGAGUCAUGUCGGGGACUCUGAGGAGACUGCCACCGUAAGGUGUGAGGAAGGUGGGGAUGACGUCAAGUCCUCAUGGCCCUUAUGUCUAGGGCUACACACGUAAUACAAUGGUGCACACAAAGGGAAGCGAACCCGCGAGGGGAAGCAAAUCUCAAAAAAGUGCAUCUCAGUCCGGAUUGG